UGUAAGCGUAUACCAAAGUUGUUGCAGUUAAAACGCUCGUAGUCGGAAUUUGGCAGUUCCGGAAGUGUGCACGUCGUGUGCGCACUUUGCGGGGACUGCUUUUGUGGUCUUGCGUAGGAUGAGGCACUUUCAUUAGUGAACGUCCUCACGCAACCACUCUUUACUGUGAGAAAAUCAGAGUGCUCAAAGCAGGCAUUUGCCGCGAAUGUAUUAGCAUGGAAUAAUAGAAUAGGACUCGGUUCUAUUUUGUUGGUUUGUUGGGACUGAGUAAUGAUUAAGAGGGACAGUUGGGGGCAUUUGUAUUCCGGCGCUAGAGGUGAAAUUCUUAGAUUGCCGGAAGACAAACUGCUGCGAAAGCGUCUGCCAAGGAUGUUUUCAUUGA
RNAcentral lists this ribosomal RNA (382 nucleotides) under uncultured eukaryote. RNAcentral's name for it is "partial 18S ribosomal RNA". It matches the Rfam family "Eukaryotic small subunit ribosomal RNA", at positions 592 to 976 of the family's 1831-position model. The record is from RNAcentral.